AUUGAACGCUGGCGGCGUGCCUAACACAUGCAAGUCGAGCGGUAACAGGUGUAGCAAUACAUGCUGACGAGCGGCGGACGGGUGAGUAACGCUUGGGAAUCUGCCUAUUAGUGGGGGACAACCCGGGGAAACUCGGGCUAAUACCGCAUACGCACUACGGUGGAAAGCCGGGGACCGCAAGGCCUGGCGCUAACAGAUGAGCCCAAGUCGGAUUAGCUAGUUGGUAGGGUAACGGCCACCAAGGCGACGAUCCGUAACUGGUCUGAGAGGACGACCAGUCACACCGGAACUGAGACACGGUCCGGACUCCUACGGGAGGCAGCAGUGGGGAAUAUUGGACAAUGGGCGAAAGCCUGAUCCAGCGACGCCGCGUGGGUGAAGAAGGCCUGCGGGUUGUAAAGCCCUUUCAGU
This 411-nucleotide ribosomal RNA is filed under the name uncultured bacterium. RNAcentral describes it as "bacterial SSU rRNA". It matches the Rfam family "Bacterial small subunit ribosomal RNA", at positions 29 to 440 of the family's 1533-position model. The record is from RNAcentral.